AACAGGAUUAGAUACCCUGGUAGUCCACGCUGUAAACGAUGUCGACUUGGAGGUUGUGCCCUUGAGGCGUGGCUUCCGGAGCUAACGCGUUAAGUCGACCGCCUGGGGAGUACGGCCGCAAGGCUAAAACUCAAAUGAAUUGACGGGGGCCCGCACAAGCGGUGGAGCAUGUGGUUUAAUUCGAUGCAACGCGGAGAACCUUACCUACUCUUGACAUCCAGAGAAUUUGCUAGAGAUAGCUUAGUGCCUUCGGGAACUCUGGGACAGGUGCUGCAUGGCUGUCGUCAGCUCGUGUUGUGAAAUGUUGGGUUAAGUCCCGCAACGAGCGCAACCCUUAUCCUUUGUUGCCAGCACGUAAUGGUGGGAACUCAAAGGAGACUGCCGGUGAUAAACCGGAGGAAGGUGGGGAUGACGUCAAGUCAUCAUGGCCCAUACGAGUAGGGCUACACACGUGCUACAAUGGCAUAUACAAAGAGAAGCGAACUCGCGAGAGCAAGCGGACCUCAUAAAGUAUGUCGUAGUCCGGAUUGGAGCCUGCAACUCGACUCCAUGAAGUCGGAAUCGCUAGUAAUCGUAGAUCAGAAUGCUACGGUGAAUACGUUCCCGGGCCUUGUACGCACCGCCCGUCACACCAUGGGAGUGGGUUGCAAAAGAAGUAGGUAGCUUAACCUUCGGGAGGGCGCUUACCACUUUGUGAUUCAUGACUGGGGUGAAGUCGUAACAAGGUAACC
Molecule: ribosomal RNA, 731 nt
Filed under: uncultured bacterium
Lineage: Bacteria
Description: bacterial SSU rRNA
Rfam family: Bacterial small subunit ribosomal RNA
Source: RNAcentral